This is an RNA transcript of Fragaria vesca subsp. vesca, 1095 nucleotides long. RefSeq lists it as uncharacterized. NCBI's taxonomy places the organism in Eukaryota, Viridiplantae, Streptophyta, Magnoliopsida, Rosales, Rosaceae. The transcript has 3 exons. The record is from RefSeq and is a predicted model, not a curated record.
GGCUGAGCGGCGGCGAAGGAUUUAGAUCAAAACAGCCUCCGUUGCAUUGAAGAAAUCAGAAAGCUGCUUAUCAUCCAUGGACGAAAUGGUAAGAGAUUCGAUAUGAGUAUCCUUCUGAGUACGAGGCCUCGGCAACACUGAUGGCAGUUUUGUCUUUUUGAAAUCGUCAAUUACAACCUCUACUCAUUGAAUCUCAGUCCUCUCGACCUCGGCCAGCCACCGACUCCUCACCUGAUUCUGAAGAUAGGGUAAGAAGACGAAGAAGGAGACAAAUAGGAUUUGAAGCUGAAGCUAGAGCCAUUUCAGUUUCCCCCAGAUGCUUAGCUGAUGAACACGAAUAUGAUACUUCCCAAAUGAGCAGUUUCAGGUCGGACAAGCCAUUUCUUGAUAUCAGAAUUCCAGCCAAAAUCAUGUCCUUUAGUGUGUAUUAUUUGCAAAUUUGCAGUUUAUAAAUCAAGCAUUGCCGCGGAACAUUUCUAUAAAGCAGACACUUGUUGUGACGUGAUGCUACAGAAUAUUCAAGGUGACAAAGUUUGGACGAUUCAAUGUUGUUCGUACAAAAGAAGUAAUGGAAGAAUGCAAGCAAUAAUUGCAGGUGCUGGUUGGAAAGCAUUUAGGCAGGACAAUCAUCUGGAAGAAGGUGACAUAUGUGUGCUGGAGGUGAUAGAGGAACGUAAGUGCAGAGUUUCGAUAUUCCGAGCUAAAAAGUGAAGAUACCAUGAGUUGUUCAUAGUUCCAUAGCAUAUACCCUAUUGAGGUUAGAUGUGAGGAAAAGUAUCAUCUUAGAGUAAUAUUAGUGGUAUAUGCAUCUCAGAGGAAGUAUUGCUAUCAUCAAUGUAAAAUGUGUGCUUUUCGUUGGAUUAGGGUAUUUUCAUUAGCAGAUAUUCCCAUGUCUCACGGGACUAGUUUUCUAUCCACACUAUGUCAAGCAUUCUUCUCAUGCAGUAAACAGAAAGACUCUGAGAUCAGUGCACCAAUGGAUGAUUAGCUUGAUGCCUAAAGUCAGUUUUGUAAACUCGUUACUUUAACACUUCCAAAAUAGUUGAGACGAAUGGUGCAAGGCUCAGUGGUGGCUGAUUUGGGUAUCUGAGUUCA